This 74-nucleotide transfer RNA is filed under the name Verrucomicrobium spinosum DSM 4136 = JCM 18804. Its description in RNAcentral is "tRNA-Gln (CTG) (tRNA-Gln-CTG-1-1)". It matches the Rfam family "tRNA". Rfam says of the family: Transfer RNA (tRNA) molecules are approximately 80 nucleotides in length. Their secondary structure includes four short double-helical elements and three loops (D, anti-codon, and T loops). Lineage: Bacteria; Pseudomonadati; Verrucomicrobiota; Verrucomicrobiia; Verrucomicrobiales; Verrucomicrobiaceae. The record is from RNAcentral.
UGCCGCGUAGUGUAAUGGUAACACGAGAGAUUCUGACUCUCUUAUUUCAGGUUCGAGUCCUGGCGCGGUAGCCA